Papaver somniferum (opium poppy) is the source of this 1691-nucleotide long non-coding RNA. RefSeq lists it as uncharacterized. The transcript is spliced from 2 exons. The record is from RefSeq and is a predicted model, not a curated record. Lineage: Eukaryota; Viridiplantae; Streptophyta; Magnoliopsida; Ranunculales; Papaveraceae.
UAACAGACGCCAUUUUGCGUGUGAUCGAUCAUAAUAGAUUCAAGUUUGUGGUGUGCAGGUACAUAAGAAGGAAACUGGGAACAAGAAGAUUUUUCUUAUUGGUUUUCGUAUCUCAUGAUUUUUGUACACAUCUUGAUCGGCUUGGAUCCGAUUUAGAUUAUAUUUAUCUGAUCAUAAAAUCGUUUAGAUCGGAAACUAUAAAGUGUUAUCAAGGAAACCAGAUUUUCUUCUCAGGGAACCCUCUGCGGAUAACUCCAAAUCAAUUCAAUAAGGUCGAGGAUUUUAUAUUUCUCUUUCAUUUUCUCUUCUUCUUCUUUCUUCUUUUUAUUUCUCUCUUCUCUUCUCUGCUUCUCUUGUUCUUCGGUCGAGUGAGGAUUUGAGAAAUCAAUUUAGUGACUGGGAGAUCGAAUAAAGAGGGGAAGGAUUAUGUAGUAAUUGUUGGUGGUGGUGUUCGAUUGGUGUUUGAAGAAGAUUAAAAGAAAUAUGAAUCCGGAAGAAACAGAACUAGGGUUUUAGUUAGAUUCUGAAUUGGACGGGAAUUGGUUGGUUUGCAGAGUUGCUAGUAGAUGAAGUACGAUCGGGUUAUUGUUUAAUUGAUUUUCUGAAGUUGAUUCGAUAAGUAUUGAAGAACUAGGGUUUUUCUUAUAUAAUUGAAUCGACUACAGAUUUAGAAGGUGGGUUUAAUUUGGAAGAUACAGAUUGAUUUAUAAAUGGGUUUUGUGUAUUAAUAACAAAGAACAACAUUUGGUAUUCAAUUUACGAUUCAUAGUGAAGAAAAAGUAAAUUAGGGUUUCGUGUUCUUCCCCAAAUUAGAAGUUAGGGUUUCUGAGUAAUUGAGGAUGGAAAUCAAAUUAGUUAAGAGAUGGGUUUGGAUGAUUGAGAGGAUUAUAGUGGAGUUGCUAGUGAAAUCUUAAUCUCAAAUGAUGAAAUUGGUGCUGAGAUUGAUUGAAGUCUGGAAGACGAGAAAAAGGUUAUUAUUUGUGUCUGAGGUUUUGGAAAACUGCUGGGUUGCUUUGGCUGUGUUUGUGUUGGUAGUAAUGUGAUGAGAUGGAGGAAAGAUUAAAUUAUAAAUGGAGGUUGAGUGAUUGUGUUAAGGAAUUAUAACAUGAGUUAAUGAAUGAGUGUUGUUUGAGUUGCAGUUGAGGAUGAUGUGUCUGGGAGUUCUUAUUAUUGUUAUGAUGAUUGUGUUGGUGGCCAUGUAAUAAGGAAUUGAGCUGUAAUGAAGCUCAUAUGUAUGGAGUAUGAGUUAUAUGUAAUUGGAAUUGUAAUUAGUAAUGUUUUGAUUUAAGGAAAUUGAUUUGCAUAGGUAGGUGUUUGUGCUGAGUUACAAGUUGUAGUGGCGUUGUUGAAGCUACAGGGGAUAUGAGUGGCUGGUGGAAGUUUAGGAACUGUUUUGAGAUAUGGAAUAAAGUUACAGUUACUACUUGUUAAGCUGGUGGAGAUUUCUUUGGAGAGUUUUCUUUGUAGUAUUGUUUGCAGAUUGUGCAGACAUGAAUGAAGUGAGUUAUAGGAAUGAAGGUUUGGUGAGUUUGUGGAGUUGAAUCUCUCUUGUAGAAGCUUAGAGAUGCAACUGCAAGUAAUUAAGCAGUGAUUGUGUUUUUAAUUUGAUUCUAAAGUUUGCUUUUGAAUUUAUGAAUUGAAGUUGUACUUGAGUUAUGAUUUAUGCAAGAUUCUUAUCCUGAGUUCUUUCA